UAACACAUGCAAGUCGAACGAGAAGGUGACUUCGGUCACUGGAUAGUGGCGUCCGGGUGAGUAACACGUAGGUAAUCUACCUUCGGGUGGGGAAUAACGUCUCGAAAGAGACGCUAAUACCGCAUAAUGCAGCGGCACCUAAUGGUGAUUAGUUGUUAAAGCGGGGGAUCUUCGGACCUCGCGCCUGAAGAGGAGCCUGCGGCAGAUUAGCUAGUUGGUGAGGUAAUGGCUCACCAAGGCUUCGAUCUAUAGCUGGUCUGAGAGGACGGCCAGCCACACUGGCACUGACACACGGGCCAGACUCUACGGGAGGCACGCAGUGGAGAAUUUUGGGCAAUGGGCGAAAGCCUGACCCAGCAACGCCGCGUGAAGGAGGAAAUCCUUCGGGAUGUAAACUUCAUAAGUAAGGGAAGAAAGCUGCGGGUUGAAUAAAUCCCGCAGUCAGACGAUACCUUACGUAAGCCACGGCUAACUACU
RNAcentral lists this ribosomal RNA (477 nucleotides) under uncultured soil bacterium C4. RNAcentral describes it as "bacterial SSU rRNA". It matches the Rfam family "Bacterial small subunit ribosomal RNA", at positions 49 to 505 of the family's 1533-position model. The record is from RNAcentral.